GCGUGUCACCUGUGCAUGACCAAUAGUUUGUAUGUAUCUUGGCGUUAUCUUACACGAACGUAUUUACCUAUAGGUGGAUCAUACAAUCUACAAGGAUAAUAGUUGAUUUCAUUUUGGAUAAAUUAAUGAGUAUUCCUUACGUUGUGGAUAGUUUUACUAUAAUUGUUCUGUGUUGUUUUCUACAGAUUUCAAUAAAUUGUCAUUAAAAAUUUCCAUCAACGUUGCUGGUAUCCUGUUGAUAUAUGUUCAAAUCUAUCAUGGUGAAAAACACCUGGCGGUGGAUAAAAGAUAAAGGUUAUAUCUACGUCAUCACUGUGGUAUCCCUUGUGUACCUUUUGUAUGUGUACCUGAAUCGACAUGAUACACAUAAUGGAAAUGAAGCAUCAGGAGGAAAUAUACAUGCGUGGCAUAUCGAUUUUGCGGAAUUUCUUCUGACAUUUCAAGAUUAUACAGAGUAAAAAUAACUGUUUGAUGUGUUUGAUUAUUUUGCAAGUCAUAACAUAAAAAAAUGACUUCUACAACAAAAAUGAGUUUAUAAAAUAAAUCUAUGUAUAUAUGUAAUUGAUAUAAAAAUAUCACAAACACAA
This is a long non-coding RNA of Ostrea edulis (European flat oyster), 587 nucleotides long. RefSeq lists it as uncharacterized. The record is from RefSeq and is a predicted model, not a curated record. Lineage: Eukaryota; Metazoa; Mollusca; Bivalvia; Ostreida; Ostreidae. The transcript has 2 exons.